This 2782-nucleotide unclassified non-coding RNA is filed under the name Hevea brasiliensis (rubber tree). The record is from RNAcentral. Lineage: Eukaryota; Viridiplantae; Streptophyta; Magnoliopsida; Malpighiales; Euphorbiaceae.
GCAAUAUCAAAAAAUGAAAGUCAUUAAUUUUAGAUUUGUAGUGAAAUAACCAAAUACCAAGACUGUACGAAACAGCCGCAUACUUCUCUGAGAAAGUUCUCUCUCACUUUCCUUAAUGAGCAAGAUGCAAGCAAAGCUAUCACAGCCUCCUUGAUGGCAUCAAUCAAAACCUGAUGCUACGUUGAUAAUAACAUGAUUGUCUGUGUUGUUCACUACUUGGAUUAUUUUGAUUACAAGUUUCUUUUGUUGUAAAGUAGUAUCAUGGCCGGUUUUCUUGAAUAUUCAGUUCAUGUCUCUCUGAUGCUACUCACAAUAUUUUCACAGUUGAUGAAUUAAACUUGAUCUUGGAAGUGCUACUAAUCCAAUUCCCAGGACCUCAGCACUCCUACAAAACCCAACAUUUAGCAGUUCAGAAACAUAAGAACUAUAGACUAUAAAAACCAAAAUAACAUCUGCAGUUUUUACAUGGCUCAUAUUACAAAACUAAAAGUUGAAGGUUCAACAAAAUCUUAAGCUUGUUACAAUUUGGUUCAUCUCUUAGGAUGUAAUGGGAGAUGGACUCCUUGAUUGCACCCAAGUUACUAAAUCCUCACGUGUUGCUACAAAACAACCAGCUCUUUCUUCACUCUGCCGAAAUGGUGCAGAAAGUUUUUCAACAUGGGAAGCAAAUGCAUUGGCUAGUCCUCGAGAGAAUUUGUGAGUUCCCGUACCAGUGUGAGCUGAAAAAAUUUCUGGCAAUUCCUUUUUGCGAUGAACAAAUUUGGAUAAAGUUCCCAUCCAUUCUUCAAGUGCAGUAUGGGCUGCACCAACAGACAGUGAGCGAACAUCCAAACUCCACUCAUCUACAGUUUUGUUGUGUAAAUCUGGAUAUAAACCAUAAAGAGUUCCCAGAUAUAGCAGCUCAUGUGCUCUGCCAUGAAGAUUUCUAUUACGACAUACAUCAAUCAAGCAGUUACAAAAGGGUCUUCGUGCUUCUACUGCAGUGUCACUGACAAUAGCCCUAAACUCCUCCUUAACAGUCUCAUAGCUAGUUUUUUCAUCUUCAAUCAACCUCACAAGUGCAACCAACCUUGGAUUAGCUUGCUGCAAACAAGUCAGUACCCUGUUGGCAUCCUCACUCUCCUCACAAAGUGACACAACAGAGAGCAAGCAACCACAAAGUCUAUCAUCUGGUUUAACCCCUCCCUCAAUUGAAACAUUGAAAACCCUAACCAGAUCAUCAAUUCUCCUAGCUUUUCCUAAGCACUGAAUCAAACAAGUGCAUCCCAUCACAUUUAUAUCAACGCCCAACUCAGACAUCUCUUCAAACAGCUCCAUUGCCUUACUGGCAUUCCCUCCGCUACCAUAUAUGUUUAGCAUCGCUGUGAAGCUCCAACUAUCUGGCCUACAGUGCUCUGAUCUCUUCAUAUCCUCAAAUAAUCUCUCAGCCUCCUCCUCCAUACCAAGAUCUGCACACAUGCUCAGCAAUGUAUUAUACAAAAUGAAAUCCAUUGGCCAAUCAUUUGAUCUCAUUCGUUCCCAUAGUUCCAUUGCAUCCUUAGCCCACCUAGCCUUCCCAUAAAUCUUGGCCAGUGCAGUUAAUGAUUUCUCAUUUGGGGUUAGCCCUGAUUCCACCAUUUCCUCGAACAAACUCCUAGCCAGACCAGGUUUCCCAGCUCUGCCCAUUGCCUCUAGCAAUGUAUUGUACACAACCAAAUUAGGCUGUACACCUACAGAUUUCAUUUCUUGCAAUACGAACCUAAUUCCAUCAUAGUCCCCUGCUUCACCAAACAUCUUUGCCAAAACAGAGAAUGUAAUGGGAUCAGGUUUCCACCCACUAGCUACCCCUCUCUCAUACAAACUUAACACCUCCUCAACCUUCCCCAAUUUAGCAUAAACAUCUAAAACAGCAGAAUACGUAACCUCAUCAGGCAUUAAACCAGUUUUAUACAUUCUCUCAAACCACUCCAAUGCCUUAUCAAACAUCUUGCACCUCUUAGCACAAGUUAUAAUAGUUGAAUAUGUAAUGUUGUCAAGUUCAAUUUCAUUGCUUACCAUCUCAUUUGCGAGGUUGUCAAUGAGCUCAAACUGCCGUCCAAACCGCAAAGACUUCAUCGUGACAUUGUAGAAUAUAGUCUCCAUAGGAAACAAAUUCUGGGUCUUGAGCCAAUUGAAAAAAAGAUGAGCCUUUUGCCAUGGUUUCAAGCUAUUAAGUAUCAAGAGAGCAUUUUCUCUGGUGAGUGGAUAAGGGAUUUGCUCAAGAAGAGAUAUAAAAGCACUCUCACUAGAAGAAUCACAGUCGUUCAGCUUCUGUGCAAAGAGUCUCAACUCUUUGACCUUGGGAUUGAGCGAGUAAGGAGACCGCUUUUGCCUUUGAAGUGAAAGCACAGACCUUCUGGGUUUUGUGGGGUUGACCCAUGUGGACUUUGGUUUGGAUAAGAGAUGAGUUCUUUGGUCUUUGGUGGUGGAGAGUGUGGUGGCAGAGAGAGGCUUGAGUUGGUCAGAUAAAGAUGGGUUUUUGGGGUUGGGUGAUUCCUUGAGAUUUUGAGAUGUUUUUGGAGAAGAUUGGGACGAAUUGCAGGAAAUGGGGAGUCUUUUUUUUAUAGAACUUUUCCUGAUUGUUGCAGUGAAGAAAAUGGGUCUUCUUUUAUCAGACUGUGGUAUUGUAAGACGGAAAUCUGGAGCUGCAGAGAGAUUAGAAGCCAUUACUGAAUGAGAGAGCUGUGUAAUCGGUUCAAGAAAUAUCCGUUGCUUAUCUACCGUGUUAUGGCUGAAUUGUGAUGAUGUCUUUUCUGAUAUUUUG